Molecule: unclassified non-coding RNA, 111 nt
Organism: Cercocebus atys (sooty mangabey)
Lineage: Eukaryota; Metazoa; Chordata; Mammalia; Primates; Cercopithecidae
Rfam family: Y RNA
About the family: Y RNAs are components of the Ro ribonucleoprotein particle (Ro RNP), in association with Ro60 and La proteins. The Y RNAs and Ro60 and La proteins are well conserved, but the function of the Ro RNP is not known. In humans the RNA component can be one of four small RNAs -- hY1, hY3, hY4 and hY5.
Source: Ensembl
AGCCGGUCUGAAGGUAGUCAGUGAUCUCAGUUGAUUGUUCAGUCAGUUAUAGAUUGAUCUCCUGGUUCUGCUCUUUCCCCUCUUCUCACUACUGCGUUUAACUAGUCUUAA